GGAUGAUCUUAAGGGACUCAAUAAAAAUAAAAUGUCUGCUGUUCACCAAGACCACUGUACACCAACAGGGAACUAACUGUAAUCUAUCUUGCUGCUACAUACAUUGUAAAAGAAAAAUUGUAAAAUAUUGUAAAAUGCAUUUCAUCCAAACCAUCUUCUUGUUGUCAGGAUGGACACGCAAAUGUAGCAGUGUUAGAUUUCCGUUAAGACUCCUUUCUUAAUUUAUGAUGCAAAUUAAACUCCCCUCCAGCAAUAAUGCCUUGACAAGAUCACCAAUUUAUACAAUCUAUCCAUACUUGUCUGCCACUUUCUAACAUGCUUUAAAUGUUAGGAAGAUUUGCUUUUAUGUUCCUGCAUUUCUAGCCCUUGAUCACCCCCUGUUUAGUGCAACUGGUGCACUGAAAACCAAGAGUGCUUUUUUUUCCAUUAAAAAUAGCUUUACAAAAGAAAUCCUGGCCCUGCCUUACUGCUACAUUGUACAAUCACACACUGAAAGAGAGCAAACUGCAUUUUGCUAUCAAAUCAUUAACUCUAGAAAGAAUUCUAUUUUCCUUUGUUCCUGUUCUCUCUUUUGUCAUACCCCAGGUGCUGCAAAAACUCCAGUCUCCUUUCACUAAGUAAAAUC
Long non-coding RNA from Strigops habroptila (Kakapo), 625 nucleotides. RefSeq lists it as uncharacterized. Lineage: Eukaryota; Metazoa; Chordata; Aves; Psittaciformes; Psittacidae. The transcript is spliced from 3 exons. The record is from RefSeq and is a predicted model, not a curated record.